RNAcentral lists this ribosomal RNA (497 nucleotides) under uncultured bacterium. Its description in RNAcentral is "partial 16S ribosomal RNA". It matches the Rfam family "Bacterial small subunit ribosomal RNA", at positions 28 to 506 of the family's 1533-position model. The record is from RNAcentral.
GAUGAACGCUGGCGGCGUGCCUAAUACAUGCAAGUCGAGCGAACAGACGAGGAGCUUGCUCCUCUGACGUUAGCGGCGGACGGGUGAGUAACACGUGGAUAACCUACCUAUAAGACUGGGAUAACUUCGGGAAACCGGAGCUAAUACCGGAUAAUAUAUUGAACCGCAUGGUUCAAUAGUGAAAGACGGUUUUGCUGUCACUUAUAGAUGGAUCCGCGCCGCAUUAGCUAGUUGGUAAGGUAACGGCUUACCAAGGCGACGAUGCGUAGCCGACCUGAGAGGGGGGACCGGCCAACUGGGAACUGAACAACGUCCCAACACCCACGGGGGGGCAGCGGGAGGAAAUCUUCCGAAAGGGGCGAAAGCCUGAGGGAGCAACGCCGGGUGAGUGAUGAAGGUCUCCGGAUCGUAAACCUUUGUUAUUGGGGAAAAAAAAAUGUGUAAGUAACUAUGCCCGUUUUGAGGGUACCUAAUCAAAAAGCCCCGGAAAACUACGU